This is a long non-coding RNA of Calypte anna (Anna's hummingbird), 319 nucleotides long. RefSeq lists it as uncharacterized. Lineage: Eukaryota; Metazoa; Chordata; Aves; Apodiformes; Trochilidae. The transcript is spliced from 2 exons. The record is from RefSeq and is a predicted model, not a curated record.
CGGCCGGUCCCGGCGGGGGGGGAGGAGCUGAGCGGCGUGAGGAGACCCCGGCCCAUCCCGGCCCCUGGGCCUUUUCUUUGGCUUCCUGUUGGAUCCCAUCCAAGCAGCACCCACCUUCCCAUUCCACUUCGCAGGGCAUUGCAGCUCCAAGGCGCAGAGUGUGUGAUGGGUGCUCCCUGUACCUUGGCACAUUGACCAUGGUGACAUCAGCUGCCUGCAUGGCUCUCACCCUGUCCUGCCAUGCUGGAUGCAGCAUGCCCUUCUCUUCUGCCCUGCAUGACUGACUCUGACUUGUCACCUUGGAUGACCCUUCACAAGG